This 799-nucleotide unclassified non-coding RNA is filed under the name uncultured fungus. Its description in RNAcentral is "sequence contains 18S rRNA gene, ITS1, 5.8S rRNA gene, ITS2, 28S rRNA gene". Lineage: Eukaryota; Fungi. The record is from RNAcentral.
GGGCGACCAUCUAGCCGCGCGCGAAAGGGAGAGCGACGUAUGCCGGUGUUCGUCUGGAAGGGCCGCACGAUGGCCGGGGAGACCCAGGCCGGCGAGCUGACGUUCGAUCGCCAGGAAGAGGCGAUCUACUUCUUGCGCAAGAAGCGCAUCCUCGUCACCUCGCUGCGCGAGAAGUCGGGCGGGCUGAAGAUCGCGCUGCCGAAAUUCGGCAGCGGCGUGAGCACGAAGGACAUGGCGAUCUUCACGCGCCAGUUCGCGACCAUGAUCUCGGCCGGCCUGCCGCUCGUGCAGUGCCUCGACAUCCUCGCGACGCAGUGCGCGAAGCCCGGCUUCGCAAAGGUGAUCUCCGACGUCACGCGCGAGGUCGAGGCGGGCUCGACGCUGGCCGACGCGCUGGGCAAGAACAAGAAGGUGUUCGACGACCUGUUCCGUAACAUGGUUGCGGCCGGCGAGGCGGGCGGCAUUCUCGACGAUAUUCUCCUGCGCCUGGCGCAGUACAUCGAGAAGGCCGACGCCCUCAAGCGGAAGAUCCAGGGCGCCAUGAUCUACCCGGCGGUGGUCAUGUGCGUCGCGCUCGGCGCGACGGCGUUCAUGCUGAUCUUCAUCAUCCCGACGUUCGCGAAGAUGUUCACCGACUUCGGAGGCGAGCUGCCGCUGCCCACCAAGCUCGUGCUCGGGGCCUCGAACAUCUUGCGCAGCUACUGGUGGGUGGCCGCGGGCGGCAUCGUCCUGGGCAUCACCGGCCUGAAGAAGUGGUACACGACGGACAUCGGCCAGAAGAAGAUCGACGGCUUCAUGC